GACGAACGCUGGCGGCGUGCCUAAUACAUGCAAGUAGAACGCACAGUUUAUACCGUAGCUUGCUACACCAUAGACUGUGAGUUGCGAACGGGUGAGUAACGCGUAGGUAACCUGCCUGGUAGCGGGGGAUAACUAUUGGAAACGAUAGCUAAUACCGCAUAAUAUUAAUUAUUGCAUGAUAAUUAAUUGAAAGGUGCAAUUGCACCACUACCAGAUGGACCUGCGGUGUAUUAGCUAGUAGGUGAGGUAACGGCUCACCUAGGCGACGAUACAUAGCCGACCUGAGAGGGGGAUCGGCCACACUGGGACUGAGACACGGCCCAGACUCCUACGGGAGGCAGCAGUAGGGAAUCUUCGGCAAUGGACGAAAGUCUGACCGAGCAACGCCGCGUGAGUGAAGAAGGUUUUCGGAUCGUAAAGCUCUGUUGUAAGAGAAGAACGGGUGUGAGAGUGGAAAGUUCACACUGUGACGGUAUCUUACCAGAAAGGGACGGCUAACUACGUG
Molecule: ribosomal RNA, 505 nt
Filed under: uncultured bacterium
Lineage: Bacteria
Description: partial 16S ribosomal RNA
Rfam family: Bacterial small subunit ribosomal RNA
Source: RNAcentral